Molecule: long non-coding RNA, 23025 nt
Filed under: Citrus maxima (pomelo)
Lineage: Eukaryota; Viridiplantae; Streptophyta; Magnoliopsida; Sapindales; Rutaceae
Description: long non-coding RNA (CMAX_LNC002286)
Rfam family: Plant small nucleolar RNA R71 (bases 6242-6348)
Source: RNAcentral
GGGGAACGAGCUUUGUUUAUAGCACAAGUGAAACUCCACUUUAUUGAACGAUGGGGUCUCAAAUGGGCUGCCUCUUUGCCACUCUUUUGGUAGUAUCAGUCUCUCUUAGCUACUUGCCGAUAGAAGCCUCCGCAAACAAAUACUACUACACAUCUCCUCCCCCUCCCAAGUACAAGUCUCCACCACCACCCCCGCCACCGGUUCACAAUUCUCCACCACCACCCCCGGUUUACCUGCCCCCGCCACCUCCUCCACCAGUCUACGUGCCUGCUCCGGCACCAACUCCAAUUUUCCCUUCUCCGCCACCUCCUGUCCCCAAGUCCCCACCACCACCUCACCCUUACGUCUAUGCAUCUCCCCCUCCUCCUUACUACUACUAGAAAGCGGCCAUGAAUAGCUCAUGCUUUUAUGGUAAUCUCAUUUAUUUUUAAAACUGUACAUGUAAAGACUAGUAGUUCAGAAUUACAUUAAGCAUUUCAAUUUUAAGCACCGUGUUCUGUUUAAUUGCGUUCCUAUUGAUUAAGUGACAAAUAAAAGAGAUUGAUUAAUUUGUUCUUGUAGGAGAGGCGAAUGGUAUCCGAAUAAAGAAAGCAAGGGUUUGAUGGAAGGCUUACUUGGAGCAAGAUAGCGAUCAAUCGAGUUGCUGCGUUUUAUUCUCUUUUCUCUUUGUUUUUUAAGAAAAAUAAACUGCCACACGUAGAAACAGAAAAUUAAGUUCUUGUCAUUUUCAUGCAUGUGGAUUGUUGCUUUGUGUGUCAAUCAAAUCUCCGUUGUGUCAUUUGUAAUUUUCAACCUUUAUGCAUGCAAAUGCGAGACCUCUUACGUAUAAUAAAAUUAAUAUACUUCCCAAGAUGGUCUUAUCUUGCGUUGACUUUUUACGUUCCUUUGGUGAUGAUUUUAACGUUUGAAAUUGAUGAGUAUUGUUUUUGUAAACUCUGACAUGGAUUUUUCGUGCAACUAAAGAGCGCAUUAAUGAGAGACUUAUCCAUGAGGGUCCAUGCAUAUCAGUGUCUAAUUAACCAAUAAUUAAUAUAACUUAAAAAAUAUAGAGUUAACAAUUUUUAUGGGUCAGGCUCAAUUGCAGAUGUUCGUACAAAAUUUCUUGCUAAUGUAUACUUGAGUAUGAUAAUAAGUUUUAAUCAUUAUUAAUAAUUCACUUGACAAUAUUAAACAAAUUUUCAUAUCAAUUAAGUUACAAAAUUUCUGUGACAAAUUUCCACGUACUGGAACCAUGCAAAAGGACUUUAUUCAAACAAAGCUGCAUAGCCGUUGGCAAUUAAAAUUAUUUAUCAAUUAAGUUAAGUAGUAAGAAUUGGAUUGUGGAUUCCAUUAAUUAUUUCAAGGAAAAUUUUAUAGAUAAUGCCGUAAUGAAAUUUACGGCAUCAAUACCAUGAUAAAUAUAAAUAUUGUAAAUUACAAAGAGAAUUAGUAAAGGUAAAGUAAAACCAGUAAAUUCAUAAAAGAUUAUUAAUUAUUUAAAAAAUUAACAUUGUUUCUACAUAAUUUUAGUGAAAAAUAUUUUAUUCAUUUACAAAAACAUUUCUUUAAUUAAACAAAAAAAAUUCAUUAAUUAAGCAAAAAAAUUAUACUGAAAAAAAAAAGUGGAAUAAGUUUAAUUGAAUUGGUUAUCAUAAAUUCUAUAUUUAGUCUAGGACAUUUGUAUACAUUUUUUUUCCCAUUUUCGAUAAUGAUAUCUAUUUGUUACACAUGUUAAUUAAGUGCAAUUAUUUAUCUUGAUGUGGACCAAGUAAAAAAAAAAAAAAAAAGAGAUAUCAAUAAAAUUAGAUCUAGUUUUGAAUAUUAUGUAUACUUUAUGUAGUUUCAAACUUUUUACUUGUAUUUGGAGACCAUUUAAGGUUGUUGUUGAAGAAGUGUAGAAAGAUGUAAAAUAACUUCAUCUUACAACAACUAUGAAAGAUAUUAAAAUAAUAUUUUUUUCAAAAUCCGAUUUUGAGAAAAAAUUUCAUCCUUAAUUAAACAUCACAUGUAUUAUAGAAAUGAAAAACUACCAUUGUUAUAUUUAAAUUAAAAAAUAAUAAAUAUAUAAGGUAAUAAACAUUAUAACGAGUUUUUAUUUUAAAAUUGUAAACUUUUGUUUCUGACAAUAACUCUUAUAUUAAUUAAUUUAUUUUGCAUUUUAUUCAUAAGUUUUAUGCAUAAUCUACAAACUUUAUGUUUUAUUUUGCAUUUAAUGUUGAUUUGGUUUUUUUAUAUUAUACGUAUAAGUUUUCAUUUUAUUUACCAGUAAUACAUCAAUUUAUCAGUUUUAUUGUAAUUUACUUAUUUUACCUUCCUUUUACAAUUCUUAUGUUUCAUUUUCAAAAUUUAUGUUUUAUUUUACAGUUGUUGAUGAUUUACUAGUUUUAUGUUAUGUUUGCAAGUUUUUGUUUUGUUUACUAGUAAUAGAUUAAUGGGUAAUUUUUAAUUGAGUCCUCAUUAGUUCUAGAAAAAAAAUUCAGAGACCAGAAGUUUACUAAAUGAAUCAAUUAAAUUCUUUCAAGUACAAACUAAUGUCAUUCAAGUCCUUAACUUAAUUGCUCAGUUAAAAAUAUUAACAACAUUGAGGACAUUUUAGUAAAACCACAAUUGAGUCGUUUCUCAUUCUUUAUUUUUGACAGGUGGAAAUAGUUUAAAGUUAACUCAAUUAACCUGAUUAAGUUAAGGAUCAGUUCUUUCAAAAGAACAAAAAAAAGACCUACAGAAACUGCCAUAUUCUUCGUGUGAGAGGAGAGAUCGAGAGAACGUGGGAUGGUGCAAAAAAUGUUGUAUAAAUCUACUGUGAUUUUGACCAAAGCUUUGGUAGCAUUGAUUGAGUUCAAGUACUGGAGAGAACCUGAGUUUAAAGGUUAGUAACUCUAUUUUUUUAGUGAUUUCCGCAAGCAUUUUCUGAUAAAAAAAUUUUCCAUAUUGAGUGAUCGUUGUGAAAAAUUAAGUUUUUCAAGUCUAUUUUUGAAAAUGACAAACUAUGUUUAAUUAUUGGUGGAUUCUUUUUUUUGUUCAAUAUUGUAUUUUGUUAAUUUGUUGUUUUUAAUUUGCUCUUUAUGUAAUUGUUAGACCAAAUACACCAUUAUUAUACUUGUAUUCAUUUCAACAAUUUGGUAUCAUUAUAUUAAUAAGAUUGAAUUCAUUGUAUUUGCUUCUUUGUUCAUGUAAAAUUGAAUUCUAUGUAUUCUUAUGAGUGAUAAUUUUUCUAUCUAUUAGACUAAAUUCACUAUAUUCACUACUUUCUUUCUUUUUGCUGGGCUAUUUUUUCUUUUUAGUUUAUAUUUUUUAUAUGUAUUAGAUUGAAUUUGCUUUUGUAUGUUUUUUUCGCCAAAUUGCAUGUAUAUUUCAUUUAGGUUGAGUUUUUUUUGUUGUUUGCUAAAUAAAAGUAUAUUGGUUUAUCCUUUUUUGAGGCAAUACUUUUGUUUAAAAUUAAUACAGGUAGCCAUGUUACCUUUUUUUCGGUUAAAAUUAAUGGGGUGAUGUAUGCGAUAGGAUAUAGGGAACCAGAGGAAUAUAAGAUUAUUAGGCUGUUUCUUGAAAUUCAAGAUGUCAUGGUUAAGCAUGGACACAUUGAAAUGGAUUUGAUUGAAAUUUUUGUUGUAUUGCCAUGGACUACAAGUAGGCAGAGGAAGCUAAUUUCAAACGAUAGUGAAUUGUAUUGGGUUUUCGAGGAGUUUUUUUUAUCAAUAGUUGUCCUGUCAUUGAGUUUGAGGUGCACACUGGGUCAGGUGGUCAGUCAUUUCAUGAAAGUGUUGUAAUAGGACCUGAAAAUCCUGUCAAUAUUAAAAAUUAGCGUUGUAAUAGUGAUAAGUUUGAAAAUCCUGUGGCUAAAAAGGGUUUGCCUAGAAUAAUUGGUUCUUCUUUAUUUGCCUCAAAGUCCAACACUAUGAAAUCCACUAGGAAAAAGAAUUUAUCCACUUUAACCAGCACGUCUUCAAUCUUACCUUCAGGAUAAGCAUGAGAUCUAGCAGCACAUUGCAAUGUCACUGUGGCUGGUCUGACUUCUCCAACUCCCAAUUGCUUGAAUUCUAAUAAUGUCAUAAGAUUGAUGCUUGGUCCCAAAUAGGGAUGACAAUUGUACCCGCAAACCCGCCCAAACCCACCUGCCAAAACCCGCCCGUUGCGGGUAAUUUUACCCAUUGCGGGCGGGUUUAGUAUUAUAAAUUAAAACCCGCGCAUGGAUGUGGGUGGGUUUGGUAUUAACCUUAUAUCCGGUGGAUACCCGCAUGGAUAUCCACCAAACCCGCAAUAUUUUUUUUCAAAUAUUUUUAAUUUAAUUUAAAUAUAAAAAUGUAUAAAGAAAAUAAUGUCAUUAAUCAAAUUACCAAAUAGACAAAGGCUCAAAGUUGUGUAUGUGUGUAUGUGGCCCAUCUCUUAUUCUAAAGUCAUAACCUAAAGAAAACUAAAGGCAUUUCCCUUCGAAUUAGUAUUUGAAAAUAUUAAUCUUAAUUAUUAUUAUAGGCAUUGUGUUGGAUGGGUGCUUAUGGUGGUGAAUGAAAUGAAUAUCUUCUCUUGGAUCUUGUUUUAAAUGAUAAUAUGAAAUGUAAUUAUUAUUUUUAGAUACUAGUUUGUGUUUUUAAAAUGGAUUUGUGUAAUUUAUACUUAAAUUUGAGAAUUUGUAUUGAAUUGAUGUGGAAAUUUUAAUUUUUCAUUGACAUUGUUUAAAUAUAAAAUUGAGUAUGCUAUUUGGAAUUUGAGGUUAUUAUUAUAAAUUUAUAUAUUAAAUAUUUGUGAUUUUAAAUACGAAAACCCGCAAAAAAUCUGCCGGAUACUAUUGCGGGUUUGGUAAUUAUUAAAACCCGCUGCGGGUGGGUUUUUAAAAAAAAAUUAAAACCCGCGGCGGGUUGCGGGUGGGUUUGGUAAUUUAAAUUUUGUGCGGGUUUGGGUUUGAUAAUGGCAAAUCCGCUGCGGGCGGUGCCCAUUGCCAUCCCUAGUCCCAAAUCACAAAGUGUCUUGCCACUGUAUUUAGUUCCUAUGGAACAACGAAUUGUGAAACUUCCUGGAUCAUUCAACUUCUGAGGCAUUUUACUCUGAAGCAUAUGGCUGAAUUCUUGUGUUAGACCAACUAUUUCAAAUUCUCCGAGCCUCAUUUUCCUUGCCAAUAUACAUUUCCAAAACUUUACAUAAUUUGGCAUUUGUUCUAAUGCUUCCACAAAAGGAAUGUUGAUAUGCAGUUAUUUCAAUACUUCCAAGAAUUUACUGAACUGCUUGUCUUGCUUUCGCUUUUGAAAUCUUCGUGGGAAGGAUGGUGGAUGUGUAAAUUGUUGUACUGCAGCAGACUAUACAUAUUGCUUUUCUCUUGCUCUAUUAUGGUAUGUUAUUGUUGGUGCUGCAGCUUCUUCCUCAACAAGCACUGAAUCAUGUUUUUUUUGCAGUUGCUAUAACUUAGCAACUCUCACCAGUGUGCUGGAAAAUGGGUUGUUGUGUCUCUUCUUUAAUUUGAGUUUCCCCUUGGGUUGAAUUAGGUUCCACUCUUCUUUUUAGUACUUUAACAAGUAUAUGAACAUCCUUUCCAGACCUUAAGUUAAUCCCCUUACAAUGCUCUUUUCCUUCUCUCUUUCGAUCCUCUGUAUUGUUUAGUAAAUUGUCCUAAGGUAUGUUGCUCAAUGUUGUAGCAAGCUGUCCAAUCUUAUUCUCCAAGUUUCUUAAAAAUACAGCUUGGCUUUAGACCACUACUUCAAUCUUCACAAUAUACUCCUUAAUCAGAGUUUCAAUGGAACUAAAUUGAUCAUUACUGGUGUUUCUUUACCCUUAAAAUUUCUGGUGAAAAUCAGGUGGCUGAGCAAGUCAGUUCUGUCCACUGGAUGCUGCAGCAUGCUGAUUCUGAUUGCUCCUUUUAAAAUUUGGGUGAUGUCUCCAUCCUAGGUUAUAGGUGUUUGAAAAUGGAUUGCUUUGAUUUUGUUUAUUAAAAUUGCCCACAUAAUUGACGGAAGCUGAAUUCCUAGGACAAUUAUCAUAUAGAUGUCCCUCUCCAUAAUAAACACAAGAGACUUCAGCAAUUUGGUUAACUGUUGUUGGAGCAGUGGCCGUUGCUUUUACCAUAUUUGUCAAUGAGGUUACUUGGGCUGAUAAUGUUGUCAGUGCAUCCACAUUGUGUACUCCUGCUGCUCCUCUCACUAUGGCUUGUCUAGUUGAUGGCCAUUGAUAGUUAUCCUUUCUAAAAUUUCAUAAGCCUCAUUAUAUGAGUUAGACAAUAAAGCCCCUAGUUAUUGAGUUCAACCCAUUGUAGAAAGUUUCCAAUUGUAUGCAAUAAGGAAUACCAUGAUGAGGGCAUCUCCUGAGUAACUCCUUGAAUCUUUCUCAUGCAUCAUACAAGCUUUCAUCUUCAAGUUGAUGGAAAGAUGUGAUCUCAUUCUUCAACUUUGCAUUCUUUGUUGGUGGGAAAUAUUUCAUCAAAAUUUUGUCAGCCAAAUAAUUUCAUGUGGUGAUGGAGUCUGGUUGUAAAGAACUCCACUGUACCAACUAAAAUUGAUUUCACAAAACACAAUAAGCACCAAUCCCUGGCAACGGCGCAAAAAACUUGUUGUCGAUUUUCUAAUGCUAUUAGUGUCAAUGUGAAAAUGUACACAACAAGUAAUAUAACGAUAAGUAUUCACUCCACAAGGAUUAUUAUUAUAGGAAUUGCUACAGUAAUUCUAUCAGUGCCAUUCUUAUUAUAAAUUAGAAUUUUAAACAAAUUAUUCAACUAAUGAACUAAGGCAGAUCUUAUUGGGCUAGUCGGCAAUGUGUUGCUUUAGGUCGUGUGGAAUAGUUGCGGGAGUGAUCUUGCAUGAUGUGUGGAGCUAUAACAGUGCUGAGCAUGGGCCAAUCUAUGGGCUCAUGGAACUAGCGAACCUAAUCUAGAAUUUCGAGGAAGAGUACUCUGGUUAGUACUCUAAAUUACCUUAUUAUAUUUUGCACAAACAGAGGCAUGUUAGUGAAAUAAUAUCUAAGCAACCCAAGAGGGGGUGAAUUGGGUUUCUAAAAAUUAUGCAAUUCUUAAACAAAACUUAAUGCAAAUCUUAAACGAAUUUAAAGUAAUAAUAAAUAAAUCAACCAAAGUAUAAAAAGAUAAGGGAAGAUAGAUUAAAAAACAGAGAGUUUUACGUGGUUCGGCCAACCUUGCCUACAUCCACGCCCCCAAGCACACCGAGCUUGGGCAUUCCACUAGUCAAGCCUUCAAGGCUUCAAGAACACUUACAAUUGACUUCUUAGGUGUCAAUCAACCUUUACAUCUAGAGAUUAUCCUCAAUCUCUUAACCCAAGUGUAUCCCAACAUUUACAAUCACUCAAAAAUAAAGAUUACAAAAUUUAUUUUUCUCCCACACAAUUUUUUAAGAUUACAAAUCAACGCUUAAUGUGUGAAUAAAUGAACAAGAAUAAUUUGAAACUCAAUGAAUGUUGUAUUCUCGAUUAUAAGCUCAAUGAUAACGUAUGUGAUAAGCUCUUGUUUGAAUUUGAUUGAGCUUAUUUAUAGUUAGAGUUGAAAAAUAGCCAUGUUGACUUUUUCCCGAAAUUGGAUCGCCGUUAACCGUUAUCGGUUAACCGUUUUGACUGGUCAAGUGACCGUUGAGCUGAAUUUCAAAUAAACGGUUGAUCUUUUGACAUUAUCGGUUUGCUGUUAAUUUCCAUAAACCUGUAAAACAAAUUUAUGCUAUCCGUUCUUGCUAAACGGUUGAAGGUCAGCAUGGAAUGACAUUCUAGAAAUUAUUGGUUGGCCGUUUGAAGUUCACGGUUCACCGUUUACUUCUAGAAUCACAGUUUUAACCAAAUUUCGCAGGGAAUGCUUUUUCGGUUAAAGUUAACGAUUAUCCAUAUUUCAUGAGCACAUUUAGAAAAUCAUACGACUUUUGAGAAAUUGUUUAGUAAUGAAAAACUCUAACAUUUUAAUCAAAUACAUUUAAAGUUUGUUAUCAUCAAAAUCAAUAUAAUGAACAUCUACAUGUUAACAGUUAGGCCUUGAUUAUUUUUUAAAUCUUAUAAGAUAUAGAGUGAUAAUAGUAACUCAAUUUUCAUAAAACGUGGAAAGAUCAGUCGCCAAAUUUAUAGAUGCCAUAGAAAAUCUAGAUUUUAGUAAGGAAUAUCAAGUUAUUUAUACAAUGAAAAUUGUUAAAACUCGAUUAAUUGCAAGGAAACACUUUUAGAGAGAUAUGGAGAGAAUAAACUUUGAAGAUAACAAUGAAAUACAUGACACUUAAGGAAGAAAAAUAUAAUAGUAUUAAUAGAAUCUAUUUUAACCGGUCUUAAGAUAAUUCAAGAUUGAUGCAAAAUAAAUAACAGGACUCUAAACCGUCCAUAAUAAGUCUAUUGAUUAAUAAUAACAAUAAUAGUGAUGUGAAAUUUUUUAUUCAGAAUGCUCAAUUUAGAUUAUAAUAUCUAUGUGAAAGCAUUGAUGGCAUGUACCUUGGUUAGGAAAAUAGAUUGGACACAUGGAUAUAUAUGUUGGAAGAACAAAUCUAGUUUAUAUCUCAAGAGAGAUAAUAAAUUAUAAAUGACGGUGCUAUAGUAUAUUCAGAUUUUAUAAAUCUUUAUAAAUUUAAUAAUCAUUUAGAUCUUCAUAAUAUUAUAAUAAAACUUUAAAAAACUUUAAAAAUAUAUGUAGAAGAGAUGGAAGAAGAAAUCAUCCAAUUAUUCAAAAUCAAUUAAACAAAAAUAGAAGGUAAAAUCCUUGAAUUAUAUAAAUUAUACAAUUUUCACAGAAAUUUUGCAUAUAUUGCGAAACGGUCCUUGUGGCACUAAUUAUGGGACUAGUGUAGCAUAAAUACUAAUAUUGCUUUUUAUUUUGUAAAUUAAUUGUUGCGUCAUAAUGUUUUUACAUACACAUUUUUGUUUUAAAAUAUGAAUUUUUUUUUUGUAUUUAGGGUUAAUUUUACAAUUUCAUACUUUGUUCAAUUAUAUGUACAGGUCCUUAACGUGUUGGUUGAUGUUGAAUAUUCAAAGAUCCACAAGCUAUCAACGACAACGAAUCAAAUUAAACUAAUUAGUUAAUACAUAAUGACUGGGUGUUUCCUAUGCUUGUUAAUGAUGUUAGGACGUUAUUUUAGGGAUUUUAGAAUUUUAAUUAUUAGGUCUUCUGAUAUUUUCUUUUUUAAUUAAAGUCAGUGUCUUAGUUUUUUAUUUAUUUAUGUUAUAAUUAUAAUUUACUUUCUCUUUUUAAGUUAACUUAGGAAAAUAUAUUUACUGUAUUAUAAAUAAAGAGAUCUUGUUAUUACUUUAUAACUUCAACUUCAGUUAUUCAAUUAAAAACCCCUCUUUUAAAGUUGUUUGAUUAGAGCAUCAUCUAGCCUUGCUAACGCAGUAUUAAAUAUCCCUUUUGAGUUUAAUCACACUUCGAUUAGAGCGUAACUUAAUCGCAUUGACUUGGUCCAGUACUUGAACGAUAUCUAGUGUUUUGCUUCCGCUAUGCCCAAGGAGAAAAUUAAUUUCACCGUGAGAUAAGAGCAUUAAAAGGAAUUCAUAAGAAAUUGGGAAAAUAUCCACCGUCCACUUGAUUUUGUCCACUUUUUUAAAAUACACAAAUCUUAAUUUUUUUGCUGCGCUACACCUAAACUUAUAUUUUUUUUUCACAUUUCCACCUCCGUUUGCAAAUUGUCAAAACGUUGCUGACGUCAUAAGGAUAAAAUAAUAAUUUCACUUGGGCUUCAAAAAACAAAGUCGUUUAAGAUCUGUAAUUUUAACCUUUUCGUUUGAUUCUGGAGUAAGGUUGGCCCUACAAACCGGGCAUGUUCACGUGAGAGGCUAAGUAGACAUCGAUGCAAUGAGGAUGGAACACGUGAUCACAUUUGGAAGUAAACGCAACGUUUCGUCAUCCUCAAACUCGCUUAAACACACGACACAUUCCAGAGCACCUUUCCCAAUUUUCAGAUCCUUCACCGCAGAGUAGACGAAGAUAGGGAAAGACUCGAUGACGGAAGGAUCGAGGCCGCGGUUUCUGGAGACAAUUUAAAGGCAAUUUAACGUUGAGAGAGAUGUCAACGUUAACGUACUGUGUUCGCUGAAGUAGGGAGAGCUUUGCGAGUUACGGACGUCUUGAGAGAUGCAGGUGCGGCAAACUGAAUGAGCGUUUGCUGCUGUGCUGAAGGCACUAGCAAUGGAAGCCGGCAGUUCGGGGACGCGACACAUGCGUUCACAAGUGGGGUUCGUUAAAGUUGGUGGUGAGGGUAUGGGAUUGGGCGAUGGUUGGAAUUCGAACGGAAGGAACCUGUUGACAGCAGUUAAAUCGCCGUUAAAUUUUUUGAUUUCACCGUCUAGUUCGCGACCCACCUCGAUAUCUCCGCUUUAGUUUGUGGGUGGUGGACAAUCUUGCCGUUUGUUUAUUUGCGCUAACUGUUCAUCUUGCCGUUGUUUUCUUUCUCAUUUUAAAAUUUCAUUUUCUGUUGUUAUUGGGACAAAAAUGUAGGAGGAUUUGGAGAAUAUAUGCAUAAUUCAGGGAGGGACAGUGUCGUAGUUACAGAACAAAUUCGAGGCCAAUUAAUGCCAGAGGAAUUGGAUGUGCCGCGCACUGCGAAUCAAUGCCGGAGGAAAUGGAUUCAUUGCUUGAUGAGUACNNNNNNNNNNNNNNNNNNNNNNNNNNNNNNNNNNNNNNNNNNNNNNNNNNNNNNNNNNNNNNNNNNNNNNNNNNNNNNNNNNNNNNNNNNNNNNNNNNNNNNNNNNNNNNNNNNNNNNNNNNNNNNNNNNNNNNNNNNNNNNNNNNNNNNNNNNNNNNNNNNNNNNNNNNNNNNNNNNNNNNNNNNNNNNNNNNNNNNNNNNNNNNNNNNNNNNNNNNNNNNNNNNNNNNNNNNNNNNNNNNNNNNNNNNNNNNNNNNNNNNNNNNNNNNNNNNNNNNNNNNNNNNNNNNNNNNNNNNNNNNNNNNNNNNNNNNNNNNNNNNNNNNNNNNNNNNNNNNNNNNNNNNNNNNNNNNNNNNNNNNNNNNNNNNNNNNNNNNNNNNNNNNNNNNNNNNNNNNNNNNNNNNNNNNNNNNNNNNNNNNNNNNNNNNNNNNNNNNNNNNNNNNNNNNNNNNNNNNNNNNNNNNNNNNNNNNNNNNNNNNNNNNNNNNNNNNNNNNNNNNNNNNNNNNNNNNNNNNNNNNNNNNNNNNNNNNNNNNNNNNNNNNNNNNNNNNNNNNNNNNNNNNNNNNNNNNNNNNNNNNNNNNNNNNNNNNNNNNNNNNNNNNNNNNNNNNNNNNNNNNNNNNNNNNNNNNNNNNNNNNNNNNNNNNNNNNNNNNNNNNNNNNNNNNNNNNNNNNNNNNNNNNNNNNNNNNNNNNNNNNNNNNNNNNNNNNNNNNNNNNNNNNNNNNNNNNNNNNNNNNNNNNNNNNNNNNNNNNNNNNNNNNNNNNNNNNNNNNNNNNNNNNNNNNNNNNNNNNNNNNNNNNNNNNNNNNNNNNNNNNNNNNNNNNNNNNNNNNNNNNNNNNNNNNNNNNNNNNNNNNNNNNNNNNNNNNNNNNNNNNNNNNNNNNNNNNNNNNNNNNNNNNNNNNNNNNNNNNNNNNNNNNNNNNNNNNNNNNNNNNNNNNNNNNNNNNNNNNNNNNNNNNNNNNNNNNNNNNNNNNNNNNNNNNNNNNNNNNNNNNNNNNNNNNNNNNNNNNNNNNNNNNNNNNNNNNNNNNNNNNNNNNNNNNNNNNNNNNNNNNNNNNNNNNNNNNNNNNNNAUUUUUAUGGGUCAGGCUCAAUUGCAGAUGUUCGUACAAAAUUUCUUGCUAAUGUAUACUUGAGUAUGAUAAUAAGUUUUAAUCAUUAUUAAUAAUUCACUUGAUAAUAUUAAACAAAUUUUCAUAUCAAUUAAGUUACAAAAUUUCUGUGACAAAUUUCCACGUACUGGAACCAUGCAAAAGGACUUUAUUCAAACAAAGCUGCAUAGCCGUUGGCAAUUAAAAUUAUUUAUCAAUUAAGUUAAGUAGUAAGAAUUGGAUUGUGGAUUCCAUUAAUUAUUUCAAGGAAAAUUUUAUAGAUAAUGCCGUAAUGAAAUUUACGGCAUCAAUACCAUGAUAAAUAUAAAUAUUGUAAAUUACAAAGAGAAUUAGUAAAGGUAAAGUAAAACCAGUAAAUUCAUAAAAGAUUAUUAAUUAUUUAAAAAAUUAACAUUGUUUCUACAUAAUUUUAGUGAAAAAUAUUUUAUUCAUUUACAAAAACAUUUCUUUAAUUAAACAAAAAAAAUUCAUUAAUUAAGCAAAAAAAUUAUACUGAAAAAAAAAAGUGGAAUAAGUUUAAUUGAAUUGGUUUAUCAAAAUUCUAUAUUUAGUCUAGGACAUUUGUAUACAUUUUUUUUCCCAUUUUCGAUAAUGAUAUCUAUUUGUUACACAUGUUAAUUAAGUGCAAUUAUUUAUCUUGAUGUGGACCAAGUAAAAAAAAAAAAAAAAAAGAGAUAUCAAUAAAAUUAGAUCUAGUUUUGAAUAUUAUGUAUACUUUAUGUAGUUUCAAACUUUUUACUUGUAUUUGGAGACCAUUUAAGGUUGUUGUUGAAGAAGUGUAGAAAGAUGUAAAAUAACUUCAUCUUACAACAACUAUGAAAGAUAUUAAUAAUAUUUUUUUCAAAAUCCGAUUUUGAGAAAAAAAUUUCAUCCUUAAUUAAACAUCACAUGUAUUAUAGAAAUGAAAAACUACCAUUGUUAUAUUUAAAUUAAAAAAUAAUAAAUAUAUAAGGUAAUAAACAUUAUAACGAGUUUUUAUUUUAAAAUUGUAAACUUUUGUUUCUGACAAUAACUCUUAUAUUAAUUAAUUUAUUUUGCAUUUUAUUCAUAAGUUUUAUGCAUAAUCUACAAACUUUAUGUUUUAUUUUGCAUUUAAUGUUGAUUUGGUUUUUUUAUAUUAUACGUAUAAGUUUUCAUUUUAUUUACCAGUAAUACAUCAAUUUAUCAGUUUUAUUGUAAUUUACUUAUUUUACCUUCCUUUUACAAUUCUUAUGUUUCAUUUUCAAAAUUUAUGUUUUAUUUUACAGUUGUUGAUGAUUUACUAGUUUUAUGUUAUGUUUGCAAGUUUUUGUUUUGUUUACUAGUAAUAGAUUAAUGGGUAAUUUUUAAUUGAGUCCUCAUUAGUUCUAGAAAAAAAAUUCAGAGACCAGAAAGUUUACUAAAUGAAUCAAUUAAAUUCUUUCAAGUACAAACUAAUGUCAUUCAAGUCCUUAACUUAAUUGCUCAGUUAAAAUAUUAACAACAUUGAGGACAUUUUAGUAAAACCACAAUUGAGUCGUUUCAUUCUUUAUUUUUGACAGGUGGAAAUAGUUUAAAGUUAACUCAAUUAACCUGAUUAAGUUAAGGAUCAGUUCUUUCAAAAGAACAAAAAAAAGACCUACAGAAACUGCCAUAUUCUUCGUGUGAGAGGAGAGAUCGAGAGAACGUGGGAUGGUGCAAAAAAUGUUGUAUAAAUCUACUGUGAUUUUGACCAAAGCUUUGGUAGCAUUGAUUGAGUUCAAGUACUGGAGAGAACCUGAGUUUAAAGGUUAGUAACUCUAUUUUUUUAGUGAUUUCCGCAAGCAUUUUCUGAUAAAAAAUUUUCCAUAUUGAGUGAUCGUUGUGAAAAAUUUAAGUUUUUCAAGUCUAUUUUUGAAAAUGACAAACUAUGUUUAAUUAUUGGUGGAUUCUUUUUUUUGUUCAAUAUUGUAUUUUGUUAAUUUGUUGUUUUUAAUUUGCUCUUUAUGUAAUUGUUAGACCAAAUACACCAUUAUUAUACUUGUAUUCAUUUCAACAAUUUUGGUAUCAUUAUAUUAAUAAGAUUGAAUUCAUUGUAUUUGCUUCUUUGUUCAUGUAAAAUUGAAUUCUAUGUAUUCUUAUGAGUGAUAAUUUUUCUAUCUAUUAGACUAAAUUCACUAUAUUCACUACUUUCUUUCCUUUUUGCUGGGCUAUUUUUUCUUUUUAGUUUAUAUUUUUUAUAUGUAUUAGAUUGAAUUUGCUUUUGUAUGUUUUUUUUCGCCAAAUUGCAUGUAUAUUUCAUUUAGUUGAGUUUUUUUUGUUGUUUGCUAAAUAAAAGUAUAUUGGUUUAAUCCUUUUUUGAGGCAAUACUUUUGUUUAAAAUUAAUACAGGUAGCCAUGUUACCUUUUUUUCGGUUAAAAAUUAAUGGGGUGAUGUAUGCGAUAGGAUAUAGGGAACCAGAGGAAUAUAAGAUUAUUAGGCUGUUCUUGAAAUUCAAGAUGUCAUGGUUAAGCAUGGACACAUUGAAAUGGGAUUUGAUUGAAAUUUUUGUUGUAUUGCCAAUGGACUACAAGUAGGCAGAGGAAGCUAAUUUCAAACGAUAGUGAAUUGUAUUGGGUUUUCGAGGAGUUUUUUUUAUCAAUAGUUGUCCUGUCAUUGAGUUUGAGGUGCACACUGGGUCAGGUGGUCAGUCAUUUCAUGAAAGUGUUGUAAUAGGACCUGAAAAUCCUGUCAAUAUUAAAAAUUAGCGUUGUAAUAGUGAUAAGUUUGAAAAUCCUGUGGCUAAAAAAGGGUUUGCCUAGAAUAAUUGGUUCUUCUUUAUUUGCCUCAAAGUCCAACACUAUGAAAUCCACUAGGAAAAAGAAUUUAUCCACUUUAACCAGCACGUCUUCAAUCUUACCUUCAGGAUAAGCAUGAGAUCUAGCAGCACAUUGCAAUGUCACUGUGGCUGGUCUGACUUCUCCAACUCCCAAUUGCUUGAAUUCUAAUAAUGUCAUAAGAUUGAUGCUUGGUCCCAAAUAGGGAUGACAAUUGUACCCGCAAACACCGCCCAAACCCACCUGCCAAAACCGCCCGUUGCGGGUAAUUUUAACCCAUUGCGGGCGGGUUUAGUAUUAUAAAUUAAAAACCCGCGCAUGGAUGUGGGUGGGUUUGGUAUUAACCUUAUAUCCGGUGGAUACCCGCAUGGAUAUCCACCAAACCCGCAAUAUUUUUUUUCAAAUAUUUUUUAAUUUAAUUUAAAUAUAAAAAUGUAUAAAGAAAAUAAUGUCAUUAAUCAAAUUACCAAAAUAGACAAAGGCUCAAAGUUGUGUAUGUGUGUAUGUGGCCCAUCUCUUAUUCUAAAGUCAUAACCUAAAGAAAACUAAAGGCAUUUCCCUUCGAAAUUAGUAUUUGAAAAUAUUAAUCUUAAUUAUUAUUAUAGGCAUUGUGUUGGAUGGGUGCUUAUGGUGGUGAAUGAAAUGAAUAUCUUCUCUUGGAUCUUGUUUUAAAUGAUAAUAUGAAAUGUAAUUAUUAUUUUAGAUACUAGUUUGUGUUUUUAAAAUGGAUUUGUGUAAUUUAUACUUAAAUUUGAGAAUUUGUAUUGAAUUGAUGUGGAAAUUUUAAUUUUCAUUUGACAUUGUUUAAAUAUAAAAUUGAGUAUGCUAUUUGGAAUUUGAGGUUAUUAUUAUAAAUUUAUAUAUUAAAAUAUUUGUGAUUUUAAAUACGAAAACCCGCAAAAAAUCUGCCGGAUACUAUUGCGGGUUUGGUAAUUAUUAAAACCCGCUGCGGGUGGGUUUUUAAAAAAAAAAUUAAAACCCGCGGCGGGUUGCGGGUGGGUUUGGUAAUUUAAAUUUUGUGCGGGUUUGGGUUUGAUAAUGGCAAAUCCGCUGCGGGCGGUGCCCAUUGCCAUCCCUAGUCCCAAAUCACAAAGUGUCUUGCCACUGUAUUUAGUUCCUAUGGAACAACGAAUUGUGAAACUUCCUGGAUCAUUCAACUUCUGAGGCAUUUUACUCUGAAGCAUAUGGCUGAAUUCUUGUGUUAGACCAACUAUUUCAAAUUCUCCGAGCCUCAUUUUCCUUGCCAAUAUACAUUUCCAAAACUUUACAUAAUUUGGCAUUUGUUUCUAAUGCUUCCACAAAAGGAAUGUUGAUAUGCAGUUAUUUCAAUACUUCCAAGAAUUUACUGAACUGCUUGUCUUGCUUUCGCUUUUGAAAUCUUCGUGGGAAGGAUGGUGGAUGUGUAAAUUGUUGUACUGCAGCAGACUAUACAUAUUGCUUUUCUCUUGCUCUAUUAUGGUAUGUUUAUUGUUGGUGCUGCAGCUUCUUCCUCAACAAGCACUGAAUCAUGUUUUUUUUUGCAGUUGCUAUAACUUAGCAACUCUCACCAGUGUGCUGGAAAAUGGGUUGUUGUGUCUCUUCUUUAAUUUGAGUUUCCCCUUGGGUUGAAUUAGGUUCCACUCUUCUUUUUAGUACUUUAACAAGUAUAUGAACAUCCCUUUCCAGACCUUAAGUUAAUCCCCUUACAAUGCUCUUUUCCUUCUCUCUUUCGAUCCUCUGUAUUGUUUAGUAAAUUGUCCUAAGGUAUGUUGCUCAAUGUUGUAGCAAGCUGUCCAAUCUUAUUCUCCAAGUUUCUUAAAAAUACAGCUUGGCUUUAGACCACUACUUCAAUCUUCACAAUAUACUCCUUAAUCAGAGUUUCAAUGGAACUAAAUUGAUCAUUACUGGUGUUUCUUUACCCUUAAAAUUUCUGGUGAAAAUCAGGUGGCUGAGCAAGUCAGUUCUGUCCACUGGAUGCUGCAGCAUGCUGAUUCUGAUUGCUCCUUUUUAAAAUUUGGGUGAUGUCUCCAUCCUAGGUUAUAGGUGUUUGAAAAAUGGAUUGCUUUGAUUUUGUUUAUUAAAAUUGCCCACAUAAUUGACGGAAGCUGAAUUCCUAGGACAAUUAUCAUAUAGAUGUCCCUCUCCAUAAUAAACACAAGAGACUUCAGCAAUUUGGUUAACUGUUGUUGGAGCAGUGGCCGUUGCUUUUACCAUAUUUGUCAAUGAGGUUACUUGGGCUGAUAAUGUUGUCAGUGCAUCCACAUUGUGUACUCCUGCUGCUCCUCUCACUAUGGCUUGUCUAGUUGAUGGCCAUUGAUAGUUAUCCUUUCUAAAAUUUCAUAAGCCUCAUUAUAUGAGUUAGACAAUAAAGCCCCUAGUUAUUGAGUUCAACCCAUUGUAGAAAGUUUCCAAUUGUAUGCAAUAAGGAAUACCAUGAUGAGGGCAUCUCCUGAGUAACUCCUUGAAUCUUUCUCAUGCAUCAUACAAGCUUUCAUCUUCAAGUUGAUGGAAAGAUGUGAUCUCAUUCUUCAACUUUGCAUUCUUUGUUGGUGGGAAAUAUUUCAUCAAAAUUUUGUCAGCCAAAUAAUUUCAUGUGGUGAUGGAGUCUGGUUGUAAAGAACUCCACUGUACCAACUAAAAUUGAUUUCACAAAACACAAUAAGCACCAAUCCCUGGCAACGGCGCAAAAAACUUGUUGUCGAUUUUCUAAUGCUAUUAGUGUCAAUGUGAAAAUGUACACAACAAGUAAUAUAACGAUAAGUAUUCACUCCACAAGGAUUAUUAUUAUAGGAAUUGCUACAGUAAUUCUAUCAGUGCCAUUCUUAUUAUAAAUUAGAAUUUAAACAAAUUAUUCAACUAAUGAACUAAGGCAGAUCUUAUUGGGCUAGUCGGCAAUGUGUUGCUUUAGGUCGUGUGGAAUAGUUGCGGGAGUGAUCUUGCAUGAUGUGUGGAGCUAUAACAGUGCUGAGCAUGGGCCAAUCUAUGGGCUCAUGGAACUAGCGAACCUAAUCUAGAAUUUCGAGGAAGAGUACUCUGGUUAGUACUCUAAAUUACCUUAUUAUAUUUUGCACAAACAGAGGCAUGUUAGUGAAAUAAUAUCUAAGCAACCCAAGAGGGGGGUGAAUUGGGUUUCUAAAAAUUAUGCAAUUCUUAAACAAAACUUAAUGCAAAUCUUAAACGAAUUUAAAGUAAUAAUAAAUAAAUCAACCAAAGUAUAAAAAGAUAAGGGAAGAUAGAUUAAAAAACAGAGAGUUUUACGUGGUUCGGCCAACCUUGCCUACAUCCACGCCCCCAAGCACACCGAGCUUGGGCAUUCCACUAGUCAAGCCUUCAAGGCUUCAAGAACACUUACAAUUGACUUCUUAGGUGUCAAUCAACCUUUACAUCUAGAGAUUAUCCUCAAUCUCUUAACCCAAGUGUAUCCCAACAUUUACAAUCACUCAAAAUAAAGAUUACAAAUUUAUUUUUCUCCCACACAAUUUUUUAAGAUUACAAAUCAACGCUUAAUGUGUGAAUAAAUGAACAAGAAUAAAUUUGAAACUCAAUGAAUGUUGUAUUCUCGAUUAUAAGCUCAAUGAUAACGUUGUGAUAAGCUCUUGUUUGAAUUUGAUUGAGCUUAUUUAUAGUUAGAGUUGAAAAAUAGCCAUUGUUGACUUUUUCCCGAAAUUGGAUCGCCGUUAACCGUUAUCGGUUAACCGUUUUGACUGGUCCAAGUGACCGUUGAGCUGAAUUUCAAAUAAACGGUUGAUCUUUUGACAUUAUCGGUUUGCUGUUAAUUUCCAUAAACCUGUAAAACAAAUUUAUGCUAUCCGUUCUUGCUAAACGGUUGAAGGUCAGCAUGGAAUGACAUUCUAGAAAUUAUUGGUUGGCCGUUUGAAGUUCACGGUUCACCGUUUACUUCUAGAAUCACAGUUUUAACCAAAUUUCGCAGGGAAUGCUUUUUCGGUUAAAGUUAACGAUUAUCCAUAUUUCAUGAGCACAUUUAGAAAAAUCAUACGACUUUUGAGAAAUUGUUUAGUAAUGAAAACUCUAACAUUUUAAUCAAAUACAUUUAAAGUUUGUUAUCAUCAAAAUCAAUAUAAUGAACAUCUACAUGUUAACAGUUAGGCCUUGAUUAUUUUUUAAAUCUUAUAAGAUAUAGAGUGAUAAUAGUAACUCAAUUUUCAUAAAACGUGGAAAGAUCAGUCGCCAAAUUUAUAGAUGCCAUAGAAAAUCUAGAUUUUAGUAAGGAAUAUCAAGUUAUUUAUACAAUGAAAAUUGUUAAAACUCGAUUAAUUGCAAGGAAACACUUUUAGAGAGAUAUGGAGAGAAUAAACUUUGAAGAUAACAAUGAAAUACAUGACACUUAAGGAAGAAAAUAUAAUAGUAUUAAUAGAAUCUAUUUUAACCGGUCUUAAGAUAAUUCAAGAUUGAUGCAAAAUAAAUAACAGGACUCUAAACCGUCCAUAAUAAGUCUAUUGAUUAAUAAUAACAAUAAUAGUGAUGUGAAAUUUUUUAUUCAGAAUGCUCAAUUUAGAUUAUAAUAUCUAUGUGAAAGCAUUGAUGGCAUGUACCUUGGUUAGGAAAAUAGAUUGGACACAUGGAUAUAUAUGUUGGAAGAACAAAUCUAGUUUAUAUCUCAAGAGAGAUAAUAAAUUAUAAAUGACGGUGCUAUAGUAUAUUCAGAUUUUAUAAAUCUUUAUAAAUUUAAUAAUCAUUUAGAUCUUCAUAAUAUUAUAAUAAAACUUUAAAAAACUUUAAAAAUAUAUGUAGAAGAGAUGGAAGAAGAAAUCAUCCAAUUAUUCAAAAUCAAUUAAACAAAAAUAGAAGGUAAAAUCCUUGAAUUAUAUAAAUUAUACAAUUUUCACAGAAAUUUUGCAUAUAUUGCGAAACGGUCCUUGUGGCACUAAUUAUGGGACUAGUGUAGCAUAAAUACUAAUAUUGCUUUUUAUUUUGUAAAUUAAUUGUUGCGUCAUAAUGUUUUUACAUACACAUUUUUUGUUUUAAAAUAUGAAUUUUUUUUUUUGUAUUUAGGGUUAAUUUUACAAUUUCAUACUUUGUUCAAUUAUAUGUACAGGUCCUUAACGUGUUGGUUGAUGUUGAAUAUUCAAAGAUCCACAAGCUAUCAACGACAACGAAUCAAAUUAAACUAAUUAGUUAAUACAUAAUGACUGGGUUGUUUCCUAUGCUUGUUAAUGAUGUAGGACGUUAUUUUAGGAUUUUAGAAUUUUAAUUAUUAGGUCUUCUGAUAUUUUCUUUUUUAAUUAAAGUCAGUGUCUUAGUUUUUUAUUUAUUUAUGUUAUAAUUAUAAUUUACUUUCUCUUUUUAAGUUAACUUAGGAAAAUAUAUUUACUGUAUUAUAAAUAAAGAGAUCUUGUUAUUACUUUAUAACUUCAACUUCAGUUAUUCAAUUAAAAACCCCUCUUUUAAAGUUGUUUGAUUAGAGCAUCAUCUAGCCUUGCUUAACGCAGUAUUAAAUAUCCCUUUGAGUUUAAUCACACUUCGAUUAGAGCGUAACUUAAUCGCAUUGACUUGGUCCAGUACUUGAACGAUAUCUAGUGUUUUGCUUCCGCUAUGCCCAAGGAGAAAAUUAAUUUCACCGUGAGAUAAGAGCAUUAAAAGGAAUUCAUAAGAAAUUGGGAAAAUAUCCACCGUCCACUUGAUUUUGUCCACUUUUUUAAAAAUACACAAAUCUUAAUUUUUUUUGCUGCGCUACACCUAAACUUAUAUUUUUUUUUCACAUUUCCACCUCCGUUUGCAAAUUGUCAAAACGUUGCUGACGUCAUAAGGAUAAAAUAAUAAUUUCACUUGGGCUUCAAAAACAAAGUCGUUUAAGAUCUGUAAUUUAACCUUUUCGUUUGAUUCUGGAGUAAGGUUGGCCCUACAAACCGGGCAUGUCACGUGAGAGGCUAAGUAGACAUCGAUGCAAUGAGGAUGGAACACGUGAUCACAUUUUGGAAGUAAACGCAACGUUUCGUCAUCCUCAAACUCGCUUAAACACACGACACAUUCCAGAGCACCUUUCCCAAUUUUCAGAUCCUUCACCGCAGAGUAGACGAAGAUAGGGAAAGACUCGAUGACGGAAGGAUCGAGGCCGCGGUUUCUGGAGACAAUUUAAAGGCAAUUUAACGUUGAGAGAGAUGUCAACGUUAACGUACUGUGUUCGCUGAAGUAGGGAGAGCUUUGCGAGUUACGGACGUCUUGAGAGAUGCAGGUGCGGCAAACUGAAUGAGCGUUUGCUGCUGUGCUGAAGGCACUAGCAAUGGAAGCCGGCAGUUCGGGGACGCGACACAUGCGUUCACAAGUGGGGUUCGUUAAAGUUGGUGGUGAGGGUAUGGGAUUGGGCGAUGGUUGGAAUUCGAACGGAAGGAACCUGUUGACAGCAGUUAAAUCGCCGUUAAAUUGUUUUGAUUUCACCGUCUAGUUCGCGACCCACCUCGAUAUCUCCGCUUUAGUUUGUGGGUGGUGGACAAUCUUGCCGUUUGUUUAUUUGCGCUAACUGUUCAUCUUGCCGUUUGUUUUCUUUCUCAUUUUAAAAUUUCAUUUUCUCUGUUGUUAUUGGGACAAAAAUGUAGGAGGAUUUGGAGAAUAUAUGCAUAAUUCAGGGAGGGACAGUGUCGUAGUUACAGAACAAAUUCGAGGCCAAUUAAUGCCAGAGGAAUUGGAUGUGCCGCGCACUGCGAAUCAAUGCCGGAGGAAAUGGGAUUCAUUGCUUGAUGAGUACAAAAAGAUAAUUGUGCGAUCAAGGACUUUUCCUAACUCCCAAACUCAAACUCAUACUGAUUUCUUUCCACCCAAUUUUGACCCUGAGCUCUUUAAAGCCAUUCAUGAUUUCGUUAUGUCUAAGGAUACCGAUCUGAUGAUACUGACCCAGAUUCAGAUACCGAUCCUGAAGCUGACUUCUCUGAAGCAAUUUCACAAACACAACUAGGUAACUUUUAACUUCUCUCUCUUGUCUUGGAUUGGGAGGACUUCUCAUCCACCUCGAUAACAAGAACAUACACACAUACUCUUUAUUUUUAUCUCCACCCACAAACGGCAACGGCUACAAUACUCAUAAAACUAAUAUUUUGGCGUUUAUUUAGGGUAAAUAUGUAAUUUUUUAUUUUCGGGAUUAAAAAAUAAUUUGGAUAAAAUUCCAUUAGUUUUAUUGACGGUUUGUAGACGGAGGUGGAAAUGUGAAAAAAAUUAUAAGUUUAGGUAGAGCACAGCUAAAAAAAUUAAGAUUUGUAUAUUUUUUAAAAAGUGAACAAAAUCAUGUGGACGGUGGAUAUUUUCCCUAAGAAAUUUAAAUUAAAGCUAUAUAUGUUAAAUAUAUCGCUAGCUACUUGUUUUUGGAGGAAUUAAAACAAUUAAUAAGCUGCGAAGUGAAAAUGAAUAAAUAAAUGAAAUGAGGUUGAAAAUAAGUCUCGCCGCCUGGAUCCAAGGCCAAAACAUUCAUGAUAAGUUAGGUAAUUAAGUACAUGUUUUCAAGCUCUUCAUGAAGAAUAACGUUAUUGAAAUAAAUCACAAAGACUCCCUACGCAAAUUAUUACAUUGAUUAAAAAAAAAAAGCCAUAUCUUUAACAGGAUCGUGACUCUCGGACUGUUAAUUACUUUAUUCCCUGCUUGGCCAACAGCUGGCCACUAAACAAAAUCAUAAAAAUUUUAAAUUUAGUCAAAUUGGUCCCACUUGAUGACAUCCUUUCCAAACAUAAAAUUGUUAACGUCAAGGUUAAAUAUGAGAAGUUUGGUAGAGAAGGUAAAAAGGAAGUCUAUAUAAGGAGGGGAACGAGCUUUGUUUAUAGCACAAGUGAAACUCCACUUUAUUGAACGAUGGGGUCUCAAAUGGGCUGCCUCUUUGCCACUCUUUUGGUAGUAUCAGUCUCUCUUAGCUACUUGCCGUUAGAAGCCUCCGCAAACAAAUACUACUACACAUCUCCUCCCCCUCCCAAGUACAAGUCUCCACCACCACCCCCGCCACCGGUUCACAAUUCUCCACCACCACCCCCGGUUUACCUGCCCCCGCCACCUCCUCCACCAGUCUACGUGCCUGCUCCGGCACCAACUCCAAUUUUCCCUUCUCCGCCACCUCCUGUCCCCAAGUCCCCACCACCACCUCACCCUUACGUCUAUGCAUCUCCCCCUCCUCCUUACUACUACUAGAAAGCGGCCAUGAAUAGCUCAUGCUUUUAUGGUAAUCUCAUUUAUUUUUAAAACUGUACAUGUAAAGACUAGUAGUUCAGAAUUACAUUAAGCAUUUCAAUUUUAAGCACCGUGUUCUGUUUAAUUGCGUUCCUAUUGAUUAAGUGACAAAUAAAAGAGAUUGAUUAAUUUGUUCUUGUAGGAGAGGCGAAUGGUAUCCGAAUAAAGAAAGCAAGGGUUUGAUGGAAGGCUUACUUGGAGCAAGAUAGCGAUCAAUCGAGUUGCUGCGUUUUAUUCUCUUUUAUCUUUGUUUUUUAAGAAAAAUAAACUGCCACACGUAGAAACAGAAAAUUAAGUUCUUGUCAUUUUCAUGCAUAUGGAUUGUUGCUGUGUGUGUCAAUCAAAUCUCCGUUGUGUCAUUUGUAAUUUUCAACCUUUAUGCAUGCAAAUGCGAGACCUCUUACGUAUAAUAAAAUUAAUAUACUUCCCAAGAUGGUCUUAUCUUGCGUUGACUUUUUACGUUCCUUUGGUGAUGAUUUUGACGUUUGAAAUUGAUGAC